GUAUACCUACGGGGGGCAGCAGUGAGGAAUAUUGGUCAAUGGCCGAGAGGCUGAACCAGCCAAGUCGCGUGAGGGAAGACGGCCCUACGGGUUGUAAACCUCUUUUGUCGGGGAGCAAAGAGAGUCACGUGUGACUCAUUGAGAGUACCCGAAGAAAAAGCAUCGGCUAACUCCGUGCCAGCAGCCGCGGUAAUACGGAGGAUGCGAGCGUUAUCCGGAUUUAUUGGGUUUAAAGGGUGCGUAGGCGGACUGGAAAGUCAGCGGUAAAAUCGAGAGGCUCAACCUCUUUCCGCCGUUGAAACUGU
This 305-nucleotide ribosomal RNA is filed under the name uncultured bacterium. RNAcentral's name for it is "bacterial SSU rRNA". It matches the Rfam family "Bacterial small subunit ribosomal RNA", at positions 333 to 636 of the family's 1533-position model. The record is from RNAcentral.